UACCCUAACUCCACAAAACACUCUUAGACCACUCUCACCGAUCUCAGACCACUCUCACCGAUCCAACACAUUCCCCUCAUCGAUCUCAGAUCACUCUCACUGAUCUCAAGCUACCUCACUUCCACCCUAUCCGAAUCCCCUUCCUCCCUCUGCUCUUCUUCCUCUCCGUUCCCUUCUCAUCGAUCGGAAGCACACACACACUUUCUCUCGAACUCUCAAUCUCAUUCAAGACACUCUCGCAAGGUCGACUAACAAUAGAGAAAGCAAAGUAAUAAACCUUGCGAUACAUAGAUGAGAAGGAGACCACAUUGAGAGAACUACGACCGAUAAGUUUUUCUAUAUGCUAUUCAAUUUGGUUGGAUUGAUUUUUAUUUAGUUGCAGAAUAUCGUUUCCCUGUGCCAGAUAAUGACAUUGGGACUUCUGCAAUAGAGAAUUAAAAGGUCUGUGUGGGUCUGUCAGAUUUGUGGGGAAGUAUUUCAUAAUUUUAGGGACCCAAUCACUCAAAGGAUAAAGUUGGUAAGUUCUGUCUUCUGUGAAACUGGGCAAAGCUAAAAAAACUGUGAUGAAUCAUGUUAAAGCUGUAAGGAAAUUUGGUGAUGUUGUUCUCAAAGAUUUGAAAUUAUAGGCAGAGGCACGAAGUUCACUAAAACUUCUGGUCACUGUGCAAGAAAAUCCAGAUGCCUCUCAAAAGCCAUUCACCUUCAUUUUCUAUCAUUUUGUCUUGGUACCCGCCCAAUUCCCAAGCCUCUCCUUUGUUGUGUUUAUUAUCUUUCUUAAUUUGAUGCGUACUUGCAUCUUUGUAAGUUUUUUUUUUUUUUUUUUUUUUUUUUUUUACUUUUAAUUAUAUAAAUUAAGAUUUGUAUCAUAGGGCCGUAUCUGAGACAUAUGUAGCCGUAUCAUACAAAUUUUUAAAAGGCAUUUGUAAAGCAAACAUAGUUGGGAUAUACCCAACGUGCAGUAUUGUAUUGGAAAGGGAAGUGGUAUUAUAUUUGAA
Long non-coding RNA from Quercus lobata, 995 nucleotides. RefSeq lists it as uncharacterized. The transcript has 6 exons. Lineage: Eukaryota; Viridiplantae; Streptophyta; Magnoliopsida; Fagales; Fagaceae. The record is from RefSeq and is a predicted model, not a curated record.